RNAcentral lists this long non-coding RNA (540 nucleotides) under Physcomitrium patens. RNAcentral describes it as "long non-coding RNA (PPAT_LNC001484)". The record is from RNAcentral. Lineage: Eukaryota; Viridiplantae; Streptophyta; Bryopsida; Funariales; Funariaceae.
AUUUAGGAUUUGUUAGAAUUAGGGUAUGGUUUAGGAUUUGGUUUAGGAUUUAGGAUUUAAGAUUUUAUUUAGGAUUUGAUUUAGGAUUUAGGAUUUGGAUUAGAGUUUGGAUUAGGAUUUGGAUUAGGAUUUAAGGUUUGUCUUAGGAUUUGAUUAGGGAUUGAUUUAAGGUUUAAAAUUCGAUUAAGGUUUUAUUAGGAUUUGAUUUAGGAUUUAGAGUUUGUCUAGGAUUUGAUUAAGGUUGAAUUAAGAUUAGGAUUUGGUUAGAAUUUAAGAUACUAUUAGAUUUUUGUUAGGGUUUGACUAAGUUUUCUUUAAUAUUCUUUUAUAUUUCUUUAGGAUUUCCUUGUGUUUCUUUUAUAACUUCAAUAAAAUUUAAUUGAGCUUAUUUAAUGUUUGAUUAUGAUUUUUAAUGUUUAAUUAUAAAUUUUCUAUAAUCCUAUUGGAUUGUUAAGACCUUUUGUUGCAAUUUUCUUUUACCUUCCACAGCCAAAUGCUCGGUGCAUUCUCAAGUAAGACUUCACCUAAUACAACAACGUU